This 497-nucleotide ribosomal RNA is filed under the name uncultured bacterium. Its description in RNAcentral is "partial 16S ribosomal RNA". It matches the Rfam family "Bacterial small subunit ribosomal RNA", at positions 28 to 507 of the family's 1533-position model. The record is from RNAcentral.
GAUGAACGCUGGCGGCGUGCCUACUAAUUGCAAUUCGAGCGAACAGCCGAGGAGCUUUCUCCUCUCAGGUUGGCGGUGGACGGGUGAGUAACACUUGGAUAACCUACCCUUUAUACUGGGAUAACUCCUGGAAACAGUAGCGCUUAUCCCAUAACCUGCUUAACCGUAUGGUUCAACAGUGAUCGACGCUUUUGCUUUCACUUAUACCUGUUUCCGCGCCGCAUUAGCUAGUUGGUAAGGUAAAGGCUUACCAAGGCAACGAUGCGUAGCCGAUCUGAGAGGGUGAUCGGCCACACUGGAACUGAGACACGGUCCAGACUCCUACGGGAGGCAGCAGUAGGGAAUAUUGGGCAAUGGGCGAAAGCCUGACGGAGCAACGCCGCGUGAGUGAAGAAGGUCUUCGGAUUGUAAAACUCUGUUAUUAGGGAAGAAAAAAAGUAUAAGUAACUAUGGACGUCCUGACGGUACCUAAACAGAAAGCAACGGCUAACUACGUG